GUUAAUGUAGCUUAAUAAAAAGCAAAGCACUGAAAAUGCUUAGAUGAGCUUCCCAGCUCCAUAAACAC
RNAcentral lists this transfer RNA (68 nucleotides) under Lepus tolai. RNAcentral's name for it is "tRNA-Phe". It matches the Rfam family "tRNA". Rfam says of the family: Transfer RNA (tRNA) molecules are approximately 80 nucleotides in length. Their secondary structure includes four short double-helical elements and three loops (D, anti-codon, and T loops). Further hydrogen bonds mediate the characteristic L-shaped molecular structure. tRNAs have two regions of fundamental functional importance: the anti-codon, which is responsible for specific mRNA codon recognition, and the 3' end, to which the tRNAs corresponding amino acid is attached (by aminoacyl-tRNA synthetases). tRNAs cope with the degeneracy of the genetic code in two manners: having more than one tRNA (with a specific anti-codon) for a particular amino acid; and 'wobble' base-pairing, i.e. permitting non-standard base-pairing at the 3rd anti-codon position. Lineage: Eukaryota; Metazoa; Chordata; Mammalia; Lagomorpha; Leporidae. The record is from RNAcentral.